RNAcentral lists this ribosomal RNA (404 nucleotides) under Actinomycetes bacterium. RNAcentral describes it as "Actinobacteria bacterium partial 16S ribosomal RNA". It matches the Rfam family "Bacterial small subunit ribosomal RNA", at positions 355 to 776 of the family's 1533-position model. The record is from RNAcentral. Lineage: Bacteria; Bacillati; Actinomycetota; Actinomycetes.
UGGGGAAUAUUGGACAAUGGGCGCAAGCCUGAUCCAGCCAUGCCGCGUGAGUGAUGAAGGCCCUAGGGUUGUAAAGCUCUUUCACCGGUGAAGAUAAUGACGGUAACCGGAGAAGAAGCCCCGGCUAACUUCGUGCCAGCAGCCGCGGUAAUACGAAGGGGGCUAGCGUUGUUCGGUUUUACUGGGCGUAAAGCGCACGUAGGCGGACUAUUAAGUCAGGGGUGAAAUCCCGGGGCUCAACCCCGGAACUGCCUGUGAUACUGGUAGUCUUGAGUUCGAGAGAGGUGAGUGGAAUUCCGAGUGUAGAAGUGAAAUUCGUAGAUAUUCGGAGGAACACCAGUGGCGAAGGCGGCUCACUGGCUCGAUACUGACGCUGAGGUGCGAAAGCGUGGGGAGCAAACAGG